Molecule: long non-coding RNA, 225 nt
Filed under: Ananas comosus (pineapple)
Lineage: Eukaryota; Viridiplantae; Streptophyta; Magnoliopsida; Poales; Bromeliaceae
Description: long non-coding RNA (ACOM_LNC020937)
Source: RNAcentral
UCAUAACCAACUUGUGGGUUAAUGGAUAAUCUAAUCGGAAUAGGAUUUCGAUUAGGAUUACGUUAGGGUUUUCUCAUUAUAAAUAUAUGUCAUAUGACAUAUUAAAAUUAACGAAAAAAUUAAGCAAAAAGAAAAUGAAAAACCUAGCCGUCAAUCCUUUUUCUUUCUUAAGUCCUCCACAAUAAAUCCAUUGAUUUUGAUCUUCAAAAGUUGCUAGCACAUCUA